UUGUAAGGGAGAGAGAAAGACAGGGUUUUUAAACGUGAAAGUGACCAUGAAGUGGUAAGACUUCACGCAGAGACGGACGAACUUCAUGAAGGACUGUCUACAGCGCGAGACAAACCUACAACGCAUAGCGCGCUUACACACUCGCUGGUUUUCGCACAAGAGUAAUAGGAUUACCACACACUGCUCUGCCAAGGACAGAGACUGGAGGCGGAGACAGGAGGACAGGUUAAAGAUGGGGAGAGGGAAAUGAAGAGUACAAGUUGAAGAACAGAAUGCCAUGUUGCUGCACACCCAACCUGAAGCCCCUCGGGGGGAACAGACCUGUGAUAUUUGAGGAGAAACAGAGAGUGCAACGGAUCUGUAUCCAGUACAGCUGUCAUUUCAGAGGCGUGGAGCUAAUCAGAGGUCCGAUUUAGCAGCAUGACGGGCCUAAAGCGGGGUCACCAUAGGGCUGCUACUCGUUGCUGCUGAUAGUACACCAGCUGCUGAACUUCAUGAUCUGCAUUAACUGACAAGAUGUGGUGGUGUGUUCCAGAUAAAUGGCGGUAACCCAAAGCUCCUCGUUUCAAACUCUGAAAGGGAAGAUCCAUAAAGUAUCAGCGACAUGCCCUUGAAUCCUGCAGGUGUUAGGUUCUGCAGAGAUAAUUACACCAAAAGGCUAACCUGACAGACACCAUAGGGAGAAAAAGAGAGACGCAGAGGACAGGAGAAGAAAGGAACUGCUCAACUCAAGUGAGGAAAAAAAGGAACGAUGGAAAGGGUAAAAACAUGACAACGUACAUCAACCAGCAAAACAGACGCACACAUUCACGCACAUAUGCCAAAAUAACCGUCUAUCUGUCCGAUUUUAGAGUGUAAAAUACGUUCACGCUCACAUGAACAUAUGUACGCACAGACAAUGACGCACGCACGCGCUCUCAUUUACGCACUGAGUGAGCAGCGAACAUGAAAUCAGGGAGAAGAUGCAGGGGACAGAUUAACACCACUGACCUCCAAAAACGGAAACAAAAAUUCAUCACAGACAUACCAAGUCUUUUCUUUAAGAUCAUCAUCAUCAUCGUCACCAUGAAGAGUUUUCCCCAAAUAAUGAAUAAUUAAAAAUAUACAUUUCAUCAUUAUCUUCAUCGUAUGUUACUUUGGAUAGUUGAGGUUAUACCUUCAGAAACUGGGUUGCUAGGUGACCAGGAAAAGAGGCAAAAGAAACAGCUGAGGAUGUGUUAGUGGAGCUCUUUGGUUUAACUAGACGUGUUUAAAUUCUUUGCUAUUUUUAAAAAUCUUUUUAAACACCUUUGGACUGAAGCUGUUUUUUUUAAUUUUUUUUUUUUAUUGAAUAAUAUAUAUAGAGAGAGAGCAGGUAAAACAACAAGUAGAGAGUAAAAUAAGAACAAAAAGACUCAUAUUUGCAGUUCUCUUAGUCUAUUUCAAAUGCUAUGAUUUUUUUUCUUCUUUUCUCUGGAAUUUUCACCCAUAUCCGAUUGUUAAAGGGGUCAUAUGAUGUGGUUUCAAGUAUUCCUU
This is a long non-coding RNA of Cyprinus carpio (common carp), 1515 nucleotides long. RefSeq lists it as uncharacterized. NCBI's taxonomy places the organism in Eukaryota, Metazoa, Chordata, Actinopteri, Cypriniformes, Cyprinidae. The record is from RefSeq and is a predicted model, not a curated record.